This 301-nucleotide ribosomal RNA is filed under the name uncultured bacterium. Its description in RNAcentral is "partial 16S ribosomal RNA". It matches the Rfam family "Bacterial small subunit ribosomal RNA", at positions 509 to 807 of the family's 1533-position model. The record is from RNAcentral.
CAGCCGCCGCGGGAAUACGAAGGGUGCAAGCGUUACUCGGAAUUACUGGGCGUAAAGCGUGCGUAGGUGGUUCGUUAAGUCUGAUGUGAAAGCCCUGGGCUCAACCUGGGAAUUGCAUUGGAUACUGGCGAGCUAGAGUGCGGUAGAGGGUAGUGGAAUUCCCGGUGUAGCAGUGAAAUGCGUAGAGAUCGGGAGGAACAUCUGUGGCGAAGGCGACUGCCUGGACCAGCACUGACACUGAGGCACGAAAGCGUGGGGAGCAAACAGGAUUAGAUACCCGAGUAGUCCCUGUCUCUUAUAC